This 312-nucleotide unclassified non-coding RNA is filed under the name fungal sp. RNAcentral's name for it is "partial internal transcribed spacer region". The stretch from base 1 to 46 matches the Rfam family "Eukaryotic small subunit ribosomal RNA", at positions 1786 to 1831 of the family's 1831-position model. The record is from RNAcentral. Lineage: Eukaryota; Fungi.
AAGUCGUAACAAGGUUUCCGUAGGUGAACCUGCGGAAGGAUCAUUGCUAAUAUUAAAUCCGCCCGUUUUCGCGCGCUGAUUUAAAGGGGUAGCGCCCACAAAAACACACCCUUUUGUGCACUGCUGGACCGAUGACGUGUCAUCAGUAAUUUCGGGCGCAGAUUUUAUCUUCUGGGCCCAAAGGACUGUGACAUGUCCCACAUCGAAACUCCCAAUUGAAACCAAUUGUCUGAAGUGAUAUCUGGUCCAUGGGCCAGAGAUAUUUUGACUAAUAACAAAAUACAACUUUCAACAAUGGAUCUCUUGGCUCUC